Molecule: unclassified non-coding RNA, 276 nt
Filed under: Basidiomycota sp.
Lineage: Eukaryota; Fungi; Basidiomycota
Description: partial contains small subunit ribosomal RNA, internal transcribed spacer 1, and 5.8S ribosomal RNA
Rfam family: Eukaryotic small subunit ribosomal RNA (bases 1-47)
Source: RNAcentral
AAAGUCGUAACAAGGUUUCCGUAGGUGAACCUGCGGAAGGAUCAUUACCGAAUCGUCGACACGAGUUGUUGCUGGUCCUCAAAUGGGGGCAUGUGCACGCUCUGUUUACACAUCCACUCACACCUGUGCACCCUCUGUAGUUCUGUGGCCUGGGCGACUCUGUCCCCUUGCCGCGGUUCUGCGUCUUUACACACACGCCGUAACAAAGUCUUGUGGAAUGUGCAUCGCGUUUAACGCAAUACAAUACAACUUUCAGCAACGGAUCUCUUGGCUCUC